GACGAACGCUGGCGGCGUGCUUAACACAUGCAAGUCGAACGGAAAGGCCCCCUUGUGGGGUACUCGAGUGGCGAACGGGUGAGUAACACGUGAGUAACCUACCCUUGACUUUGGGAUAACUUCAGGAAACUGGGGCUAAUACCGGAUAGGAGCUCCUGCUGCAUGGUGGGGGUUGGAAAGUUUCGGCGGUUGGGGAUGGACUCGCGGCUUAUCAGCUUGUUGGUGGGGUAGUGGCUCACCAAGGCUUUGACGGGUAGUCGGCCUGAGAGGGUGACCGGCCACAUUGGGACUGAGAUACGGCCCAGACUCCUACGGGAGGCAGCAGUGGGGAAUAUUGCACAAUGGGCGGAAGCCUGAUGCAGCAACGCCGCGUGCGGGAUGACGGCCUUCGGGUUGUAAACCGCUUUCGCCUGUGACGAAGCGUGAGUGACGGUAAUGGGUAAAGAAGCACCGGCUAACUACGUG
Molecule: ribosomal RNA, 465 nt
Filed under: uncultured bacterium
Lineage: Bacteria
Description: partial 16S ribosomal RNA
Rfam family: Bacterial small subunit ribosomal RNA
Source: RNAcentral